GUAGUUAGCCGGGGCUUUCUAAUGGGGUACCGUCACUUCCUUCGUCCCCCCACAACAGAGGUUUACAAUCCGAAAACCUUCUUCCCUCACGCGGCGUUGCUGGGUCAGGCUUUCGCCCAUUGCCCAAUAUUCCCCACUGCUGCCUCCCGUAGGAGUCUGGACCGUGUCUCAGUUCCAGUGUGGCCGUUCAGCCUCUCAGCUCGGCUACCCAUCGUCGGCUUGGUGGGCUGUUAUCUCACCAACUACCUAAUGGGACGCGAACCCCUCCUUUAGCGGAUUGCUCCUUUGACCCCUUCGCCAUGUGGCAUUGUGGUCUUAUGCGGUAUUAGCACUUGUUUCCAGGUGUUAUCCCCCUCAAAAGGGCAGGUUGUUCACGCGUUACUCACCCGUUCGCCACUAGCUAUAAAUCCGAAAACCUAUAGCCCGUUCGACUUGCAUGUGUUAGGCACGCCGCCAGCGUUCGUCCUGAGCAUGAUACAACUACUGA
RNAcentral lists this ribosomal RNA (487 nucleotides) under uncultured bacterium. RNAcentral's name for it is "partial 16S ribosomal RNA". The record is from RNAcentral.